GACGAACGCUGGCGGCGUGCUUAACACAUGCAAGUCGAACGCUGAAGCUCAGCUUUUGUUGGGUGGAUGAGUGGCGAACGGGUGAGUAACACGUGAGUAACCUGCCCCCUUCUUUGGGAUAACGCCCGGAAACGGGUGCUAAUACUGGAUAUUCACUGAUCUUCGCAUGGGGGUUGGUGGAAAGGUUUUUUCUGGUGGGGGAUGGGCUCGCGGCCUAUCAGCUUGUUGGUGGGGUGAUGGCCUACCAAGGCUUUGACGGGUAGCCGGCCUGAGAGGGUGACCGGUCACAUUGGGACUGAGAUACGGCCCAGACUCCUACGGGAGGCAGCAGUGGGGAAUAUUGCACAAUGGGCGAAAGCCUGAUGCAGCGACGCCGCGUGAGGGAUGGAGGCCUUCGGGUUGUAAACCUCUUUCGCUCAUGGUCAAGCCGCAACUGUGGGUUGUGGUGAGGGUAGUGGGUAAAGAAGCGCCGGCUAACUACGUGCCAGCAGCCGCGGUAAUACGUAGGGCGCGAGCGUUGUCCGGAAUUAUUGGGCGUAAAGGGCUUGUAGGCGGUUGGUCGCGUCUGCCGUGAAAUCCUCUGGCUUAACUGGGGGCGUGCGGUGGGUACGGGCUGACUUGAGUGCGGUAGGGGAGACUGGAACUCCUGGUGUAGCGGUGGAAUGCGCAGAUAUCAGGAAGAACACCGGUGGCGAAGGCGGGUCUCUGGGCCGUUACUGACGCUGAGGAGCGAAAGCGUGGGGAGCGAACAGG
Molecule: ribosomal RNA, 753 nt
Filed under: uncultured Actinomyces sp.
Lineage: Bacteria; Bacillati; Actinomycetota; Actinomycetes; Actinomycetales; Actinomycetaceae
Description: bacterial SSU rRNA
Rfam family: Bacterial small subunit ribosomal RNA
Source: RNAcentral